GGAUCCAGACUUUGAUUAUGGCUCAGGAUGAACGCUAGCUACAGGCUUAACACAUGCAAGUCGAGGGGAAACGACAUCGAAAGCUUGCUUUUGAUGGGCGUCGACCGGCGCACGGGUGAGUAACGCGUAUCCAACCUGCCCACCACUUGGGGAUAACCUUGCGAAAGUAAGACUAAUACCCAAUGACGUCUCUAGAAGACAUCUGAAGGAGAUUAAAGAUUUAUCGGUGAUGGAUGGGGAUGCGUCUGAUUAGCUUGUUGGCGGGGUAACGGCCCACCAAGGCGACGAUCAGUAGGGGUUCUGAGAGGAAGGUCCCCCACAUUGGAACUGAGACACGGUCCAAACUCCUACGGGAGGCAGCAGUGAGGAAUAUUGGUCAAUGGGCGAGAGCCUGAACCAGCCAAGUAGCGUGCAGGAUGACGGCCCUAUGGGUUGUAAACUGCUUUUAUAAGGGAAUAAAGUGAGUCUCGUGAGACUUUUUGCAUGUACCUUAUGAAUAAGGACCGGCUAAUUCCGUGCCAGCAGCCGCGGUAAUACGGAAGGUCCGGGCGUUAUCCGGAUUUAUUGGGUUUAAAGGGAGCGUAGGCCGGAGAUUAAGCGUGUUGUGAAAUGUAGACGCUCAACGUCUGCACUGCAGCGCGAACUGGUUUCCUUGAGUACGCACAAAGUGGGCGGAAUUCGUGGUGUAGCGGUGAAAUGCUUAGAUAUCACGAAGAACUCCGAUUGCGAAGGCAGCUCACUGGAGCGCAACUGACGCUGAAGCUCGAAAGUGCGGGUAUCGAACAGGAUUAGAUACCCUGGUAGUCCGCACGGUAAACGAUGGAUGCCCGCUGUUGGUCUGAAUAGGUCAGCGGCCAAGCGAAAGCAUUAAGCAUCCCACCUGGGGAGUACGCCGGCAACGGUGCAACUCAAAGGAAUUGACGG
Molecule: ribosomal RNA, 924 nt
Filed under: uncultured bacterium
Lineage: Bacteria
Also listed under: 1 other name
Description: bacterial SSU rRNA
Rfam family: Bacterial small subunit ribosomal RNA
Source: RNAcentral